GCCGACCCUAACCUAUUUGGGAUUAAGCCAUAAUAAUUGUUGUUGGUUUUCUUCCAUUGCUUGUUUUGAUGUCACACAUUGACAUUGGAGAAUGGGAAAAAGCAACAGCUUCUAGGAAGAUCCAGGCAUAGUCUGGAGACAUUCUGCAUCCUCCCAAGGCUGGAAUGCAUCUUGCCGAGUUAGAUGCUCUAACCAAAAGAAAAAUCCACGCAUGAUGUUCAACUUUUUAUCUUUGUCAUGAUUGGCCCUUUUGAUUGCCCGAUUGACAGCUUUAUGGAGUGAUA
RNAcentral lists this unclassified non-coding RNA (284 nucleotides) under Hevea brasiliensis (rubber tree). Lineage: Eukaryota; Viridiplantae; Streptophyta; Magnoliopsida; Malpighiales; Euphorbiaceae. The record is from RNAcentral.